This 235-nucleotide ribosomal RNA is filed under the name uncultured bacterium. Its description in RNAcentral is "partial 16S ribosomal RNA". It matches the Rfam family "Bacterial small subunit ribosomal RNA", at positions 96 to 334 of the family's 1533-position model. The record is from RNAcentral.
UGGCGGACGGGUGAGUAAUGUCUGGGAAACUGCCUGGUGGAGGGGGGUAACUACUGGAAACGGUAGCUAAUACCGCAUAACGUCGCAAGACCAAAGAGGGGGACCUUCGGGCCUCUUGCCAUCGGAUGUGCCCAGAUGGGAUUAGCUAGUAGGUGGGGUAACGGCUCACCUAGGCGACGAUCCCUAGCUGGUCUGAGAGGAUGACCAGCCACACUGGAACUGAGACACGGUCCAG